This 72-nucleotide transfer RNA is filed under the name Cyanobacteria bacterium UBA11370. RNAcentral's name for it is "tRNA-Val". It matches the Rfam family "tRNA". Rfam says of the family: Transfer RNA (tRNA) molecules are approximately 80 nucleotides in length. The record is from RNAcentral. RNAcentral also lists the same sequence under 1 other name. Lineage: Bacteria; Bacillati; Cyanobacteriota.
GGGCGGUUAGCUCAGUGGUAGAGCGCCUGCCUUACAAGCAGGAUGUCACUGGUUCAAGUCCAGUACUGCCCA